RNAcentral lists this transfer RNA (77 nucleotides) under Caudoviricetes sp. Its description in RNAcentral is "tRNA-Leu". It matches the Rfam family "tRNA". From Rfam's summary of the family: Transfer RNA (tRNA) molecules are approximately 80 nucleotides in length. Their secondary structure includes four short double-helical elements and three loops (D, anti-codon, and T loops). The record is from RNAcentral. Lineage: Duplodnaviria; Heunggongvirae; Uroviricota; Caudoviricetes.
GUCGGUGUGAUGGAAUUGGCAUACGUGACAGACUCAAAAUCUGUAUUUUGCGGGUUCGACUCCCGCCAUCGACACCA